RNAcentral lists this ribosomal RNA (465 nucleotides) under Vreelandella stevensii. Its description in RNAcentral is "partial 16S ribosomal RNA". It matches the Rfam family "Bacterial small subunit ribosomal RNA", at positions 338 to 795 of the family's 1533-position model. Lineage: Bacteria; Pseudomonadati; Pseudomonadota; Gammaproteobacteria; Oceanospirillales; Halomonadaceae. The record is from RNAcentral.
CCUACGGGAGGCUGCAGUGGGGAAUAUUGGACAAUGGGGGCAACCCUGAUCCAGCCAUGCCGCGUGUGUGAAGAAGGCCCUCGGGUUGUAAAGCACUUUCAGUGAGGAAGAACGCCUGGUGGUUAAUACCCAUCAGGAAAGACAUCACUCACAGAAGAAGCACCGGCUAACUCCGUGCCAGCAGCCGCGGUAAUACGGAGGGUGCGAGCGUUAAUCGGAAUUACUGGGCGUAAAGCGCGCGUAGGUGGCUUGAUAAGCCGGUUGUGAAAGCCCCGGGCUCAACCUGGGAACGGCAUCCGGAACUGUCCAGCUAGAGUGCAGGAGAGGAAGGUAGAAUUCCCGGUGUAGCGGUGAAAUGCGUAGAGAUCGGGAGGAAUACCAGUGGCGAAGGCGGCCUUCUGGACUGACACUGACACUGAGGUGCGAAAGCGUGGGUAGCAAACAGGAUUAGAUACCCUGGUAGUC